CCCUUAGAUGUUCUGGGCAGCACGCGCGCUACAAUGGUCUUCGCAAACGGAUGCAUUCUCGAAGGAGAAUGCCAAUCUUGGAAUCUAUGCCUUGGUCGGGACAGUUGCUUGCAAUUUUUCGACUCGAACCAGGAAUUCCUUGUAAUCGUGGUUCAUCACAUCACGAUGAAUACGUCCCUGCCCUUUGUACACACCGCCCGUCGCUCCUACCGAUUGAAUGUGCCAGUGAAAAGUUCGGAUUGGAGAUAGGAGACGGCAACGUAUCCUAUUUCCGAGAAAAUCUUUAAACUUUCCCAUUUAGAGGAAGGAGAAGUCGUAACA
RNAcentral lists this ribosomal RNA (321 nucleotides) under uncultured eukaryote. RNAcentral describes it as "partial 18S ribosomal RNA". It matches the Rfam family "Eukaryotic small subunit ribosomal RNA", at positions 1470 to 1796 of the family's 1831-position model. The record is from RNAcentral.